Phyllostomus discolor (pale spear-nosed bat) is the source of this 4581-nucleotide long non-coding RNA. RefSeq lists it as uncharacterized. The record is from RefSeq and is a predicted model, not a curated record. The transcript is spliced from 5 exons. NCBI's taxonomy places the organism in Eukaryota, Metazoa, Chordata, Mammalia, Chiroptera, Phyllostomidae.
GCCUGUCCUUGGAAAGGGUGUCUGAGGGCUCAGGCUGAGGGCGGGGGCAAAGUUUAGGGGUCUAGGGGAAAAACAGUAGCUGAACCAGGUCUGGCCAACAAGCAUUUCCUCCGCUUGGUCAGUGGAGAUCUUUAGUUCAGCCCAAUCAAUGAUCAUAAGCAUGAUGGGGAUUGGGGAGCAUCUGUUUCAGCCUUAUCUUGGAUAAACAAGGGGAAGGGUGUUCUUAAGUGUGCCCUUUUUCCAGAACAAGUGGAUGAAGGGGAUCCUUCUAUCUUCCUUGGAUGUUUCGAGGAGCACAGGACUCAGGGAGGAUUCCACAUUGUCACCUGAUACCUAUGAGCAGCCUGUGUCCAGCUCAGCACUAAGAGCUUUCCCUUAUUCCAGCCUCAGGUUUCAAUAGAUGUAAGAUGACUGAAUUCCUUCUGCCAUUUUCUCCAUGAUAGUGAGUGAGUUAGUGUCUCAGAUCUGUUCGUUCUGUCCUGCGAACCCCUGUUUUUAUGGGGCUGAACCAGAGAAGCUGCUGGGUGGCCUGCAGACUCCAGAACCACCCAAAAGUGUUGGGUGCUUAGAGAAGCCACAGAGCCCGAGAGAGGGAGACCCACCUGCAGAUGGGCUGGGAUGGCUUGUGGCUACCUAGGGUUGCUUCCUAAAGCUUGGUUUUGGCAUCCUGCACAGAGCUGGCGGAGUUAGCUGGGAUUUGUGCAAACCGAGUUCCAAGCACUUGCCAUCACUGAGUGUACUGCAUUUGGUUCACUUGCUUAUUGCUAUUUCCCAUGAGAACGAGAGCUCAGGAGUCCUAGGAAUUGAGCCCAGUUUCCUGACUGUUAGCCUUCCCCAUUUCCCACACACACUGAUUUGUAAAUGUCCACAAUCUGCUUGUGGUGAAGAGGUUGUUGAAAUGGAAUAUGUGGGAAAUUUCAGGUCAUGGUGGUCUUUGCGGAUGUGGCUAUGAACUUCAGCCCAGAAGAGUGGGCUUUGCUGGAUCAUUCAUUCUGAGAAGAAGCUCUACAGAGAUGUGAUGCUGGAGACCUUCAGGAGCCUGGCUUCCAUGGAAUGUUCCAUGCACAAAACCAGUAGAUCAUGUUCUCGGUGGAAUAUUUUGGGGACUGAAAUAUCCAGUGAAGACAACAUAGUAAGAUUCACAAGAAACGAUUCCUGCUCUGUUUCUGGAGAACACUGGGCAUUUCAUGACGCUGGAGACCAGCGCCAAACCCAUGGGAAGCAUUUGAGAAGUCACAUGCUGGAGGCUCCCUGUGAGAGGGGUGAAGCUCAUCCAUGCAGAGACACCCUGAACCCGGUCACAGAUCUUCCUGUGGGGGAGGGACACCUACCUGGAGUUAAACCCCAGGAAUGCACUAAGUGUGGAAAACCCACUCGAGUCAGCCAAGGUCUCCCACUGGACUCAAACCUCAUCCCUGUGAGGAAUGUGGACAAGCCUGCACGUGCAUCUCGUGUCCAAGCCCUCACGUGGAACCAGAGUGUGUGCACAAACCCUGUCACUGUGGGGACACUGGGAGAGCAUCUGAGAGAUACGUGAAGAGCCUCAGUAAUACAAACUCCAUCGAGUGUCAGGAAUGUGGAAAAACCUUCACUCGCCACUCCUCCUUUUGGGGACACGUGAGAGGUCACUGUGGACAGAAAACUCAUGCUUGCAAAGUAUGUGGGAAAGCCUUUAGAUAUUAUUCCUGCCUUACAUGACAUGUUAGAACGCACACUGGAGAGUAGCCCUGUGACUGUAAGUGUUGUGGAAAAGCUUUCAGCUGUAACUCCUGCCUACGAGAACACAUGAGCACGCACACUGGGGAGAAACCCUAUGAGUGUAAGAAGUGUGGGAAAGCCUUUGGUUGUCCCAAAUACUUCAGAAGACAUGUGAAAACGCAUAGUGGAGUGAAACCCUAUGAAUGUCUGGAAUGUGGGGAAGCCUACAGUUGUUCCUCUUCCCUUCGAGAACAUGUGAGAACGCACAGCGAAGAGAAACCCUACGAAUGCCAGGUGUGUGGGAAAGCUUUUAGGCGUCUCAAUAUUUUCAAAGCCACAUGAGAAUGCGUAGUGGAGUGAAAGCGUAUAAAUGUGAAAAUUGUGGGAAAGCUUACAGUUGUUCCUCCUCCCUUCAAGAACAUGCGAGAAUGCACACUGGGGAGAGGCCCUUUGAAUGUGAGCACUGUGGGAAAGCCUUCAGUCAUCACUCCUCCCUCUGAGGCCAUGUGAGAACGCACACCAGGGAGAAAUAUGAGUGUACCUGGGUGGAAAAGCCUCCCACUGGUCCUCAUCCUUACAAAAACACACGAGGACGCAUUAUAAAGAGAAACCCUGUGAGUGCCAGGAGUGUGGCAGAGCCUUCUGGUAUCCCACCAACCUGUGAGCUCAUGUGAGGACACACAGUGGGGUGAAAACCUGAACACAAGGGCUGUGGAAAGCCUUUGUUCUUCCUUAAAACCUUGUAAAUUCGAGCAAACACACUGGAGAGGAACCUUAUGAAUGGAAGGAGUUUGGAGAAACCUUUAGAAGUACCCAUCACUUACUUUGUACAUGCAAACUCAGGGCAGGAUGGAAAUCUUUUAUUUAUUAUACUUGUAAAGAUGAUUUUGACUUUGUAAGUGUGUGCGUUGCAUGUCGUUGAGUUGGCUUCAGCUCUGGUGGUCCUAUGAAUGAGCCCACGGCAUCCUGUUUUUGACUGCCCUGCUUAGCUGCUGUAGAGUCACUUCUUUUAUGGAGUCAGUUCAUUUCAUGGUUGGUCCUCUGUUUCCCUGCUGCAUUGUUGUGUUUUCCAAGCAUUAUUGUGCUUUCCAAAGAACCCUGCCUUCUCAUGAUGUGCCUGGAGUAAGAGAACUUCGGUUUUGUCAUUUUUGCCUCCAGUGAUGUUUCAGGCUUCUUUUGCUCUGAGACCCGCUUGUUAAUCUUACUGAUGGUUCAGAGUAACUGUAGAGGUCUCCCCCAACACCAUAUUUCAAGUGAGUUGAUCUUUUCCCCAUCAGCCUCCUUCACUCUCCAGCUUUUGCACUCAUACACAUUCAUUGGGAACACCGGGUUGCUUAGCUUCGGUCUGUAAUGACACAGCUUUGCUCUGAGAUCUUUCCUAAUUCUUCCAUUGCUGUCCUUCUGAGUCUCAGCCUUCUCUAGAUUUCUUUGCUGCAGUCUUUAUUUAACUUGAUGAAUGAAGCAAAGGUAAGCAAAAUCUUCAACAAUUUCUGCAUGUUCAUUGUCUAUGUUAAAGUUAUUUCUUCUGUAGUUAUACUUUUCAUAUUCUUGAUGUUCAAAUGUAGUGUUGCCUGUCUCAUUUUUGUUAUAAUUUCUUUUGGACCUGGGGUAAUCUUGGUUUUUGCUUUUUUAUUUUCUGUGCAACUUAAUACAAUUUCAGAUGAAAAAAUGUAGAUUCUCUACUUUACAUUAUGUUUCUAGUAUGUGAUCACUUGUAUUGUUAAAAUUUCUCUUUUGGUCCAGUGUUACAGACUCAGGAGUUUUUUGACCUGAUAUCCACCCCCCACUUUACUCUGGUUUACCGAAAGAUACAUCUUCUACAUUUGUUGCUGGUGGGUGCCACACACGUGUUUUGCACAGAAAUUAGUAGUUGUUGAAAGAUUUUGGAAGAAGACAGUCUCAUCUGAUUAUGUUCAUGAUUUGGCCUCUGCUCACUGUCCUUGAUCUUGGUUGGGAAUCUGACGUGAUGCAUUGAGUUUACAAAAAGAAACCUUGUGGUGUAAAGGUGAAAGCUGUGUCCCAAUUAUUCCACUGAAUCCUGUCAUCAGCAUGGGUGAAGUGGGAAACUUUAUUUCAUUGUCCUUUGGUUUGUGGUUCUGAGCUAAAGUUCCUGGGAAGAGGAAGAUGCAUGGGGUUUGGAAGGCAGACGUGAAGAAGCCAUGGCCCUCAGAUGUUCUGUACUAUCAGCAGACAGGGGUGUGGGAACCCAGCGGGCCUGACUUAGGGUGCAUUCUUCUCAUUUCUGGCUCUGCCCAGCUGGAACUAUUGCAACCAAACGCACGUUUGAUGUUACUUCCCCCUUAGGCAGCAGAUCCUGCACACCUUUGCACAAACUUCCCAUUGUGGAUAUUUUGGGUGUGGAGGUUCAUACAGAUCCUUGCAUUUCCCCAUAGCUCUCUGGUUUUCCAUCAGGCUUCUUUCUCAAAUGACCACUCUUAGUGAUCUUUUCUCAUUUUCAAACCCCCUUCUUUGUUUUUGCUAAUAUGAUUUCUGCAGGAAGCAUCUUGUUCCUCCAACAGAAGACCUGUUUCCUGCCUCCUGACACUGUUAACACUGCAGGCGCAAAUGCUGGACACUUACUUUCCUUAUGGUGUUGAGAGACUGCGUUCCUUUUUCUGGAGACUUCCAGGGUUGAAAUAAGUAUUUGUGAACAUAUUUGAUAGUUUUUGUGUUUUCUUUCACAGCUGGAUUUUCUCUAAAUGACAAGCCCAAUUUGUUUAGUUACUUUCCAUAUUUAUAUGUGGCUACCAAUGUGUUUUUUUCAUUUUUUAUAUGUGAGUCAAAACAACGUACAUUUUUGUCAAAUAUAGUUUUCUACAUUGUUUCUUAUGAAGCUAUUAUUACCUAGGUUUUCAAAUCAGCUGCAUACUAACAAUAUUAGAU